This 396-nucleotide unclassified non-coding RNA is filed under the name Hevea brasiliensis (rubber tree). Lineage: Eukaryota; Viridiplantae; Streptophyta; Magnoliopsida; Malpighiales; Euphorbiaceae. The record is from RNAcentral.
GGCCUGCAUUUUUUUUUUCGAAAACAAUGUUAGCGAAAAACGAUGCAAGAGGCGAUUAUGGUGGAGGUUACAGCGGAACUUACAGAAACAUCGACGGUUGAGACGGCUAGUAGAAGGAGAAAACAGAGAAGGCGAGCGUAAAAUGCCAUAUUUUUGUGAGGAAAUGCGAAGCUUUGGACUAUGCGGGUAGAGAUUGAAAUUUAAAAUGGUUAAAGUAGGAAGGAGACGUGGCUUUACUGUUUUUUCAUUGGAGCGUUCUGAAGAUAUUAUCUGUGGUACCCUGGUUAAUGGUAGAUUGGUAAUUUAGAUUCUUGAGUGUGGGCAAUAAAGGAAAUACAAAAUAUCCAUGUGUUAGUAAGGUUUGUUUGGUUCCAGUUUUCAUAGUAUGAAAUAAUU